RNAcentral lists this unclassified non-coding RNA (259 nucleotides) under fungal sp. Its description in RNAcentral is "partial internal transcribed spacer region". The stretch from base 1 to 46 matches the Rfam family "Eukaryotic small subunit ribosomal RNA", at positions 1786 to 1831 of the family's 1831-position model. Lineage: Eukaryota; Fungi. The record is from RNAcentral.
AAGUCGUAACAAGGUUUCCGUAGGUGAACCUGCGGAAGGAUCAUUCACUAGGGAGUAAAUGGCUCCUUAAAUCCUCAUUACCCACCUUGUGUGCAUUGUCGAGGGAAAAAAGGGGAGGGUGGAAAAAAAACGAGGAAUUUAUUUCUCGUCCUCCCUCCUUUUUUUUUUCAUUCAUUCACUCUAUAUUUCCAGUAUCAGUCUACGUAUGAGUAUAAAAAAAACUCUAAUACAACUUUCAACAACGGAUCUCUUGGCUCUC